Prunus persica (peach) is the source of this 535-nucleotide long non-coding RNA. RefSeq lists it as uncharacterized. The transcript is spliced from 3 exons. NCBI's taxonomy places the organism in Eukaryota, Viridiplantae, Streptophyta, Magnoliopsida, Rosales, Rosaceae. The record is from RefSeq and is a predicted model, not a curated record.
CUCUCUCUCCUGCGAACCAGAAAAUCCCUCCCCCUCCCUUGCGACGACAGCGACUUCUCGUCGUCGCCACCGCCACCACACGCCGCCACUUGGGGCGGCACCGGUUCCGUUGGAACCACCACACUUCCUUCUUUCCGUUCCAACCCACCGCCACCUCGAUCUGCCGUUGCCGUCGCCGGAAACAGCCACGAAACGUAGCGGUUUUGACAGAUUUUUACCCAACUUUCGGCCUCUCGUUCUCUCUCAUUUCUCCAUCAAAUUUGACGAGUAAGGUACUCCGACCACGCAUACGCAGCAGGCGGGACCCUCUCAGGGUCAAGCAGCGUGGGACUACUUCCAGUAGUUGACUGAGCUCCGCAGCAGAGCCGGAUCGUGAGCUUCCGAGCCUUGAGUCAUCGUAGGACUCUUUCUUCCUGUUAUUUCCUUUGUACUCUGUUUUGUUGAAAUUGAAGUCCUUAGACAUGCUCUAUUAUCGCCCUGUUAGGGUUUGAAUUGUGAGGCCGGAGGCCAUUUUGUUAUAAACUGUUUAUUCGCU